UUCUCUUGAGAGCGGCGGANGGGUGAGUAAUGCCUAGGAAUCUGCCUGGUAGUGGGGGAUAACGUCCGGAAACGGACGCUAAUACCGCAUACGUCCUACGGGAGAAAGCAGGGGACCUUCGGGCCUUGCGCUAUCAGAUGAGCCUAGGUCGGAUUAGCUAGUUGGUGAGGUAAUGGCUCACCAAGGCGACGAUCCGUAACUGGUCUGAGAGGAUGAUCAGUCACACUGGAACUGAGACACGGUCCAGACUCCUACGGGAGGCAGCAGUGGGGAAUAUUGGACAAUGGGCGAAAGCCUGAUCCAGCCAUGCCGCGUGUGUGAAGAAGGUCUUCGGAUUGUAAAGCACUUUAAGUUGGGAGGAAGGGUACUUACCUAAUACGUGAGUAUUUUGACGUUACCGACAGAAUAAGCACCGGCUAACUCUGUGCCAGCAGCCGCGGUAAUACAGAGGGUGCAAGCGUUAAUCGGAAUUACUGGGCGUAAAGCGCGCGUAGGUGGUUCGUUAAGUUGGAUGUGAAAUCCCCGGGCUCAACCUGGGAACUGCAUCCAAAACUGGCGAGCUAGAGUAUGGUAGAGGGUGGUGGAAUUUCCUGUGUAGCGGUGAAAUGCGUAGAUAUAGGAAGGAACACCAGUGGCGAAGGCGACCACCUGGACUGAUACUGACACUGNNUGCGAAAGCGUGGGGAGCAAACAGNAUUAGAUACCCUGGUAGUCCACGCCGUAAACGAUGUCAACUAGCCGUUGGGANCCUUGAGCUCNUNNNGGNGCAGCUACNCAUUA
This 780-nucleotide ribosomal RNA is filed under the name Pseudomonas sp. RNAcentral describes it as "bacterial SSU rRNA". It matches the Rfam family "Bacterial small subunit ribosomal RNA", at positions 84 to 862 of the family's 1533-position model. The record is from RNAcentral. Lineage: Bacteria; Pseudomonadati; Pseudomonadota; Gammaproteobacteria; Pseudomonadales; Pseudomonadaceae.